UCGGAUUAUUGGGCGUAAGAGCUCGUAGGCGGUUUGUCGCGUCUGCCGUGAAAGUCCGGGGCUCAACUCCGGAUCUGCGGUGGGUACGGGCAGACUAGAGUGAUGUAGGGGAGACUGGAAUUCCUGGUGUAGCGGUGAAAUGCGCAGAUAUCAGGAGGAACACCGAUGGCGAAGGCAGGUCUCUGGGCAUUAACUGACGCUGAGGAGCGAAAGCAUGGGGAGCGAACAGGAUUAGAUACCCUGGUAGUCCAUGCCGUAAACGUUGGGCACUAGGUGUGGGGGACAUUCCACGUUUUCCGCGCCGUAGCUAACGCAUUAAGUGCCCCGCCUGGGGAGUACGGCCGCAAGGCUAAAACUCAAAGGAAUUGACGGGGGCCCGCACAAGCGGCGGAGCAUGCGGAUUAAUUCGAUGCAACGCGAAGAACCUUACCAAGGCUUGACAUGGACCGGACCGCCGCAGAAAUGUGGUUUCCCCUUUGGGGCCGGUUCACAGGUGGUGCAUGGUUGUCGUCAGCUCGUGUCGUGAGAUGUUGGGUUAAGUCCCGCAACGAGCGCAACCCUCGUUCUAUGUUGCCAGCGCGUUAUGGCGGGGACUCAUAGGAGACUGCCGGGGUCAACUCGGAGGAAGGUGGGGACGACGUCAAAUCAUCAUGCCCCUUAUGUCUUGGGCUUCACGCAUGCUACAAUGGCCGGUACAAAGGGUUGCGAUACUGUGAGGUGGAGCUAAUCCC
Molecule: ribosomal RNA, 731 nt
Filed under: Arthrobacter sp. OF25
Lineage: Bacteria; Bacillati; Actinomycetota; Actinomycetes; Micrococcales; Micrococcaceae
Description: bacterial SSU rRNA
Rfam family: Bacterial small subunit ribosomal RNA
Source: RNAcentral